GUACUAGCUGUCAGCUGCUGGAGACCUUGCUUUCUGUUUCACUGGGAAACAGAAGCAAUCAGAAGGAAACUUCCUCAGACUCCACCUCUCCCUUCACUCCCGCCUGUAUCCGUGCCUGUUACCUGGACGCCUUGUGGAACUUGAAUUCUACGCCCUCCACUGGGACACUGCCCUUCAUCCUCUCUCACCUCCUCCAGGACAACAAGACGGGAUUUCACCGUGUUAGCCAGGAUGGUCUCGAUCUCCUGACCUCGUGAUCCGCCUGUCUCGACCUCCCAAAGUGCUGGGAUUACAGAAUGUUGUAGUCCUCAUCAUCAGCAGAGACUUUGUGCCAUCCUCUGCUAUAUUAUCCUGAAGAGUGCCUGGCUCAUGCUGCAGUGUUCUGAAUAGCAGUCCAGCUAUGAGGGGAGGUGCCCGUGGCAGGCCUCAGCUGACCCUGGAGAGGCCAUUAAGACCUGGCUGUCGCCUCCACAGCUGCUCGGAGGCAGGUGUUCAAUAAAUGACAGACGCUACCAUCACAGAUUACCAAUGUUACAAAACUGUAAACAGAGAAAGGUGGCUUUGUAAGAAGAAAAGAGAUCAUUCUUUUUCCACCAUGUGAGGACCCAGCAAGAGGGUGGCUGUCUGCAAACCCAGGGAGAGAGCCCUCACCAGGAAUCUGCUGGCACCUUAAUCUUGGACUUCCCAGCCUCCACAACUGUGAGGAAUAAAUGUAUGUUGUUUAAGCCA
RNAcentral lists this long non-coding RNA (729 nucleotides) under Homo sapiens (human). Its description in RNAcentral is "myelodysplastic syndrome 2 translocation associated, transcript variant 8 (MDS2)". Lineage: Eukaryota; Metazoa; Chordata; Mammalia; Primates; Hominidae. The record is from RNAcentral.